ACGGAAGGCAGCAGUGGGGAAUAUUGCACAAUGGGGGAAACCCUGAUGCAGCGACGCCGCGUGAGUGAAGAAGUAUUUCGGUAUGUAAAGCUCUAUCAGCAGGGAAGAUAAUGACGGUACCUGACUAAGAAGCCCCGGCUAACUACGUGCCAGCAGCCGCGGUAAUACGUAGGGGGCAAGCGUUAUCCGGAUUUACUGGGUGUAAAGGGAGCGCAGACGGCAAAGCAAGUCUGAAGUGAAAUCCCGGGGCUCAACCCCGGAACUGCUUUGGAAACUGUUUAGCUAGAGUGCAGGAGAGGCAAGUGGAAUUCCUAGUGUAGCGGUGAAAUGCGUAGAUAUUAGGAGGAACACCAGUGGCGAAGGCGACUUACUGGGCCGUAACUGACGCUGAGGCGCGAAAGCGUGGGGAGCGAACAGGAUUAGAUACCCUGGUA
This 434-nucleotide ribosomal RNA is filed under the name uncultured Clostridium sp. RNAcentral's name for it is "partial 16S ribosomal RNA". It matches the Rfam family "Bacterial small subunit ribosomal RNA", at positions 341 to 792 of the family's 1533-position model. The record is from RNAcentral. Lineage: Bacteria; Bacillati; Bacillota; Clostridia; Eubacteriales; Clostridiaceae.